GAUGAACGCUGGCGGCGUGCCUAAUACAUGCAAGUCGAGCGAACAGAUCAGGAGCUUGCUCCUUUGACGUUAGCGGCGGACGGGUGAGUAACACGUGUGUAACCUACCUAUAAUACUGGGAUCACUUCGGGAAAGCGGCGCUAAUCCCGGAUAAUAUUUCGCACCGCAGGGGUCGAUGGUGAGAGAUGGUUUUGCUGUCACUUAUAGAUGGUCCCGGGCCGUAUUGGCUAGUUGUGACGGUCCCGGCUUACCAAGGCGACUAUACGUAGCCGACGUGAGAGAGGGAUCGGCCACACUGGAAGGGAGACAGGCUCCAGAGUCCUGCGGUAGGCAGCAGUAGGGAACGGUCCGCAGUGGGCGAAAGCCUUACGGAGCAAGGCCGCGUGAGAGAUGAAGGUCUUCGGAUCGUAAAGCCCGGUUAUUAGGUAAGAACAGACGUGUAAGGAGCUGUGGAGGUCUUGACGGUAACUAAUCAGAAAGCAACGGCUAACUACGUG
RNAcentral lists this ribosomal RNA (497 nucleotides) under uncultured bacterium. RNAcentral's name for it is "partial 16S ribosomal RNA". It matches the Rfam family "Bacterial small subunit ribosomal RNA", at positions 28 to 507 of the family's 1533-position model. The record is from RNAcentral.